CUCCUUUCAAGGAUGUGUUCUGAUAAUGGUCUGGGCGACUGGACUGUUUUGGAAUGCUUCUGAAAAUAAAGUCCCUGCCUGCAGGAUCGGGCGGGGCACAGCCAGAGAGGCUGCCUGCACUUCGGUGUAACGCGCCGUCAACAUAUCCCUUCCAGCGACAAUCAAUGGACCCUUUUGGGGCUAGUAGCUCAGUUGGUUAGAGCACACGCUUGAUAAGCGUGGGGUCGGAGGUUCAAGUCCUCCCUGGCCCACCAGUUCUGCUGCGUGUCCAUGUUUUAUGGUCAUGCACCGAUGGGGGCGUAGCUCAGCUGGGAGAGCACCUGCUUUGCAAGCAGGGGGUCGUCGGUUCGAUCCCGUCCGCCUCCACCAUGAACUGGUGUCGAGAGGGUUGGGACAGGCCGCGGGGCCUGGGACUGGAGUGGUUGUCGCCGGAAGAUAAUGGAGAUCGGACGGAUACCUUGUGGAACCGCGUUGGCGGUGCACGGGGUGUUGCGGUCUGGUAAGUUUGCUCUUUGAUAAUGUGAAUAGGUUGGUGCGUUUGUGGACGUGCCUUUGUCACGGGUUGGUCUGACCCGUGUGAUGGUCCGGGCAGCCGGGGUAUCACAUGCUAGGUGACGGAGGCGUAUGCGUUCAUGAGCGAGUUAAGUGUUGAAUUGUGCGAUGCACUGCACUUUCUCUGUGCGGGUGCUGCUGCUUGAUCUGCUGGUUAUCUGACUGGUGGUUUGGGUGGAUGGCUCCUGUGCAUGUGUGGGCAAUGAGCGCGAUAAGGGCAUUCGGUGG
This 780-nucleotide unclassified non-coding RNA is filed under the name Komagataeibacter sp. Its description in RNAcentral is "partial may contain 16S ribosomal RNA, 16S-23S ribosomal RNA intergenic spacer, and 23S ribosomal RNA". The stretch from base 178 to 251 matches the Rfam family "tRNA". The record is from RNAcentral. Lineage: Bacteria; Pseudomonadati; Pseudomonadota; Alphaproteobacteria; Acetobacterales; Acetobacteraceae.